Molecule: ribosomal RNA, 113 nt
Filed under: Candidatus Woesearchaeota archaeon
Lineage: Archaea; Nanobdellati; Candidatus Woesearchaeota
Source: RNAcentral
AUAGACGGCCAUAGGGACUUGGUUCACCCGUUCUCAUUUCGCACACGGAAGUUAAGAAAGUCUCCGUAUUGGUGUGUACUGCAUUCCGCGGGAAAUCCAGUAAGCUGUCUACC